AUUGAACGCUGGCGGCAUGCUUUACACAUGCAAGUCGAACGGUAACAGGUUAAGCUGACGAGUGGCGAACGGGUGAGUAAUGCAUCGGAACGUGCCCGGUCGUGGGGGAUAACGCAGCGAAAGCUGCGCUAAUACCGCAUACGAUCUAAGGAUGAAAGCGGGGGACCGUAAGGCCUCGCGCGAUCGGAGCGGCCGAUGUCAGAUUAGGUAGUUGGGGGGGUAAAGGCUCACCAAGCCAACGAUCUGUAGCUGGUCUGAGAGGACGACCAGCCACACUGGGACUGAGACACGGCCCAGACUCCUACGGGAGGCAGCAGUGGGGAAUUUUGGACAAUGGGCGAAAGCCUGAUCCAGCAAUGCCGCGUGCAGGAAGAAGGCCUUCGGGUUGUAAACUGCUUUUGUACGGAGCGAAAAGGUCUCCUCUAAUACAGGGGGCUCAUGACGGUACCGUAAGAAUAAGCACCGGCUAACUACGUGCCAGCAGCCGCAGUAA
This 493-nucleotide ribosomal RNA is filed under the name uncultured bacterium. RNAcentral's name for it is "partial 16S ribosomal RNA". It matches the Rfam family "Bacterial small subunit ribosomal RNA", at positions 29 to 523 of the family's 1533-position model. The record is from RNAcentral.